Molecule: ribosomal RNA, 408 nt
Filed under: uncultured bacterium
Lineage: Bacteria
Description: bacterial SSU rRNA
Rfam family: Bacterial small subunit ribosomal RNA
Source: RNAcentral
UGGCGGACGGGUGAGUAACACGUUGGUGACCUGCCCCGAGAUGAGGGAUAACUCCUUGAAAGAGGAGCUAAUACCUCAGAUGUCUGAACUGUUAGAGGGUCCAGACUAAAGCUAUGGCGUCUGGGGAGGGGCCUGCGGGCUAUCAGCUAGUUGGUGGGGUAAGAGCCUACCAAGGCGAAGACGGCUAGGGGGCGUGAGAGCGUGACCCCCCACAAGGGAACUGAGAGACGGUCCCUACUCCUACGGGAGGCAGCAGUGAGGAAUAUUGAGCAAUGGGCGCAAGCCUGACUCAGCAACGCCGCGUGGAUGAAGAAGGCCUUCGGGUUGUAAAAUCCUUUUCUGAGGGAAGAUAAUGACGGUACCUCAGGAAUAAGUUCCGGCUAACUACGUGCCAGCAGCCGCGGUAAU